This 667-nucleotide ribosomal RNA is filed under the name uncultured bacterium. RNAcentral's name for it is "bacterial SSU rRNA". It matches the Rfam family "Bacterial small subunit ribosomal RNA", at positions 8 to 652 of the family's 1533-position model. The record is from RNAcentral.
AGAGUUUGAUCCUGGCUCAGAACGAACGCUGGCGGCGUGCCUAACACAUGCAAGUCCAACGUGAAAGGGGAGCAAUCCCCCGGUAGGGUGGCAAACGGGUGAGUAAUACAUGGGUGAUCUACCUUAGGGAUGGGGAUAUCCUUCCGAAAGGAGGGGCAAUACCGAAUAUUGUCCGGAGCCGUGAAGGGUUCCGGGGAAAGGGAGGCCUCUGAUACAAGCUUUCGCCUUAAGAUGAGCCCAUGGCCCAUCAGCUAGUUGGUAGGGUAAAGGCCUACCAAGGCUACGACGGGUCGCUGGUCUGAGAGGACGACCAGCCACACUGGCACUGAGAUACGGGCCAGACUCCUACGGGAGGCCGCAGUGAGGAAUAUUGCGCAAUGGGGGAAACCCUGACGCAGCAACGCCGCGUGUGGGAAGAAGGCCUUCGGGUCGUAAACCACUUUUGCACGGGACGAAAAAGGGAUAUCGAACAAAUAUCCCCGAUGACGGUACCGUGAGAAUAAGCCACGGCUAACUCUGUGCCAGCAGCCGCGGUAAGACAGAGGUGGCAAGCGUUGUUCGGAAUUACUGGGCGUAAAGAGUCUGUAGGUGGUUUGCCAAGUCUUUGGUGAAAGGCCGUAACUUAACUAUUGGGAAUGCCAAAGAGACUGGCAGGCUGGAGGCUGGG